RNAcentral lists this transfer RNA (5835 nucleotides) under Gadus morhua (Atlantic cod). Its description in RNAcentral is "lncRNA (ENSGMOG00000031339.1)". The stretch from base 2007 to 2097 matches the Rfam family "tRNA". Lineage: Eukaryota; Metazoa; Chordata; Actinopteri; Gadiformes; Gadidae. The record is from RNAcentral.
UUCCAUGUUCAUACUUUUCAGUUGGCCCACAUUUCUAAAAAAUCAUUUUUUGUACUAGUCGUAACUAAUAUUCUAAUUUUCUGAGAUACUGAAUUUGGGAUUUUCAGUAAUUGUCAGUACUAAUCAUCCAAAUUAAAAGAAAUAAACAUUUCAAAUAUAUCACUCUGUGUGUAAUGAAUUGAUAUAAUAUGUAAGUUUCACGUUCUGAAUAUAAUUACUGAAAUAAAUCAACUUUUUCAUGAUAUUCUAAUAAUUUGACCAGCACCUGUAUAUCCUGCGGCCCAGUACCAUCAACUGGCGCUCCCCGUCGCCUGUGGGUCGAGGUCGAAUCUACCAAGAAUUGGCCAAUCAGCGCUCGUAUCAUCUACCAAGAAUUGGCCAAUCAGCACUCGUAUCAUCUACCAAGCAUUGGCCAUUCAGCGCUCGUAUCAUCUACCAAGAAUUGGCCAAUCAGCGCUCGUAUCAUCUACCAAAAAUUGGCCAAUCAGCGAUCGUAUUUCGCUGUUACUACGAAGAAUGACAUCGUGGCCUUUCGAGCGUCAAUCAGCGCUCGUAUUGCUACCCAAAAAUUACUUCACUUCAGUAUUUUUCGAUUUGCGAGUGACAUUAGAAAUUUACGAAAAUCUUCACACCUUUCGUUUGAUUACUUCACUUCACUUCACUUCUUAUGAACAUUUCCGAGAAUACAAACUGGAUCCUAAAUUUAGGAAGAAGGAUGGCUGUAUCUGCCUUUUUGACUCUGAGGAUGCCAAGAAGGUCAAGGCGGAGAAACGGCCAUGGACCAGAGCUCUUUCAUCAGAUGAGGUGAAAGAGUCUGCAAGGGAAGCUGUUGAGCAUAAAGGUGGGGGGAUCCCAACAACAAGGAGCAUGUUUUUGGCCAGCAUAAAUUACAGUUUGGGGCCUUCAGGGAUCAAACAUUUAAAUGGCUGGCUGAGAACGCUCUGGGGUAUGCUGGCUAUGUGGUGGCAUCCAUGUCGGUGGAGUCAGGUCGCUCUGAUUCAACCAACAAUCUGAUAAAUAAGAGACUUUUGGAGAAGUACGUCUCUCAUUUUCCUGCUGGCCGCUAUGCCAUUCGGGUGAAGAAGGAAGUACUGAGCUCCCAACCUGCCACUACAGCUUCUGCCUCUACACAGGCCGCCUCCACAUCCCAACAGCCUUCAGCCUCCUUGCAGGGUGCUGUCAAUGUAGCACCCGCCUUCUCUCCACGAUCAUCCGUAGUGCCUGUAUCCUCCCUACGCGGCCUGUUGUCAAGGAGAGACCAGUCUCCCCAGGCUAUCUCCAAAAAUGUAAAGAGCCUCUUUACAACACCAAGGUUUCAGCCAUCUAUUCCUGCCCUGCCACGCGCUGGAUCCAUUGAGGCAUCAUCUGCAGUAACAGUAAAAACGGAACCAACUGACAGCGAGCUCAUGCAGGCUGCCGCAGAAGUGGACCCCGACACAUCGCGUAAGUGUUUUUAUUUUAUGGACACAGCCCCUCUCUCGGUCUCUCUCUCUCUCUCUCUCUCUCUCUCUCUCUCUCUCUCUCUCUCUCUCUCUCUCUCUCUCUCUCUCUCUCUCUCUCUCUCGGUCUCUCUCUCUCUCUCUCUCUCUCUCUCUCUCUCUCUCUCUCUCUCUCUCUCUCUCUCUCUCUCUCUCUCUCUCUCUCUCUCUCUCUCUCACUCCUCUUGCUGUAAAAAAAAGAUAUGUAUGUCAUUACAUGAGGAUAUUACAAUCAUGAAUACAAAUUAGAAUUUAGCAUACUUCAAUAUAAUCAAAAUGAAGAUAGUGUGGUUUAUCAUAUAUAAUUAUUAUUUCCAUAAUUACUGUCAUGGUCUGUCUGUUCCUUGUCGUGUUUUGGUGUGUUCCCUGUGUUUCCUGUGCUACUUUGGAUAUAAAUAAACCGUAUAAAUGAUACAACUUUAUAAACGGCUAUGAGUUGGUUUUAUGCUCUGGUAAGAUCGAAAAUCAUCAACCGAAAUUCCCAGAGCUGUUGGGAUAUAUAACAGCUCUGGUAUAUCCUCAACAGGUGGCUCCGUGGCGCAAUGGAUAGCGCAUUGGACUUCUAGUCAAACACUGAGAUGUGAUUCAAAGGUUGUGGGUUCGAGUCCCACCGGAGUCGCACCUUUUUCUUUCGAUACUGUGCAUUAGAACAGCAUUUAACGAACAGAACGAGGCUUGUUAGCAUCUCACUAAUAUCGGUAAAAACCAUAGACAUCUUAUAGCAAUAGACAGAGCAUUGGCUGCUGGGACGCGAGAAAUACGGCCGCCAUCUUGGAGUGGUCAACCGGGAGCAGCAACAGCAGCAGAAACAGGAUGCCGGGCUGUUGUUCAGCAUAUUCCUGCUCAAAUCGACGGACCAUCCACAAUAGGAAUCGGGGGAUUACUUUUCACAAGGAAUCGGGGGAUUACCAAUAGUACGGAUUUAACAUUACCGUACUAUUGGUAUAAUUGGUAUUGAAUAAUAAAACACGCCAAACCAUGUGGCCUUUAUCAUAGCUACACGUAUGACAAAAAAACUGUAGGGCUGCAAAUAACGAUUAUUUGAAUAAUCGAUUAAUCUGUCGAUUAUUUUUUCGAUUAAUCAAUGAAUCGGAUAAUUUUUUUUUUUUUUAAAACACCAGGUUAUUGCUCCAACGUCCCAGAACUAGUAAAAGUAAUAUUAAAUAAUAAAACAAUUAAAAUAACAUAACUGGGAUAACACAAUAAAAACAUACAAUGUAUGAUAUACUUUUAUAUGUAUAUAAGGGAUGUCCAUGGUUAACCGGUCAAACCUAUUGAUACCAUUUUCGAGACUCCUUGAAAUAGAACUUGUAAUAUUGCUUUAAUUGCUGAUAAGAUGAUGAUAGUUCAAGAUAGGACAUUAAACAGGUCAUAAUUCAAUCUUUACUAUCUAUUUUAUAUUACUGGGAAAACAAGUUUUCACAAAAAUCUCAAUUUUUUAUUUAUUUUUUCUGUUGCAUUUGAACGCAUCAAUCAUAUUACUGAGCCGACCUGAACACAUCACAUUUGACAUUGUUUGUGACCAUUGGUCAGUUUAUUUUUUUAAGUUAACUAGCUCUAUAUCCUGCCGAUUUUAACAUGGAUUUAAAAACUGCAUUACUAUUUUUAACUGAUGGGACUUUCUACACCGUCCGGUUGUGUGAUUACUACCGCUGCUUUGAAUGACUGUUGAUGCACGCGGUGCCGACUCCGAGCCCGUCUGCACUAGGGAUGUGAAGAAUGUGUCGACUCAACGGUCGAUUCUCGACUCGUGCUCUAAACGACUCUAAAAAUAGAAAUCGAUUAAUCGGGUUUUUUUUACUUUUUUUUUUUUUUUUGCAUACAAACUGCUUCAAUGUCCUUUACAAAACAUUGUAACCCAUUUCUGCUUUCAAAAUAACCAUGAAUCAAAAUAUAAUAAAUCCUUCUCUUUUUUUUCAAAUGGGAGACGUAGCUGUGUUGUUGUUCUAACCAGGGCCGUAGCACCAAAUCCUGGGCCCCUAUACUAUAGGUACUGAUGGGCCCCCCUGCGCCAGGUUGUUGACGGGGGGGUCCGGAGCGAUUGUUGACGACGGAGGGGGGGGGGGGGUCCGUAGUGAUUGAUGACGGGGGGGGGGGGGGUCCGGAGCGAUUGUUGACGGGGGGGGGGGGGGGGGGACUGGCCGGAAGGGCCCCCCCUCUGCCUUGGGCCCCCCCACAACUGUCCCCUUUGUCCUCGCAGUCCGACGGCCCUGGUUCUAACGGUCACUUCUGUUCUGCUACACCGCUACGUCUCCCAAAAGCGAUCUCUUCCUUUGUCCUUUCAUGACAAUGGCUUCACUUAAAAGACCGGUGUGGGAUAGUUUCACAAAGAUUGAAGACAGAACAGUUAAAUGUAAAUUAUGCCUCAUGAAGUUUGCGUACCAUUCGUCCACAACCGUGAUGUUGAAUCACCUGGCAAGGAGGCAUCCCAAGCCUUCCAGCCAGCAAUUCAGCAUCGCAAACUUCACGGUGAGAUCCUGUGAUAGCCGCCGGGCUGAAAGAAUCAGCGGGUUGCUAGCCAAGAUGAUAGCCGGAGAUAUGCUGCCCAUGAGCGUAGUAGAGGGGACUGGGUUACGCAAUCUUAUUUCAUUUCUCGAGCCAACCUACACAGUGCCAUGUCGCCAAACGAUUACUGUGAGGCUGGAGAAAAUGUUCUGCGAAGCAGCAGCCUCCCUCCGCGAGAUCCUGUCCUCAGCUGACAAAGUUGCCAUCACCACUGAUGCCUGGACAGCUUUGACGACUGAGUCGUACGUGACGGUGACGUUCACUUUUUCAGCGACUGGGUUCUGCAGAGUGCGAUCCUCCAGACCCGCUCAAUGACAGAGAGGCACACUGCUGAGAACAUGGCUCACGUCUUGCAAGCCGCCGUUUACAUUUUCUCAUUUUUAUUAUCACUAGGGUUUGGGUGCAACAUUUUAAUUCUAAACAGCAGUUGUGGUCCCAAAAAUGUUUCUUUUUGUAAUUCAGCACGCACAGCCGAUGAAUUAACGGCUGGAGGCGCGUGCAGCCAGACCCUUCCCAGAUCGCAAAACACUGCGGUUGCCUACUAGCAACUUGCUCGAAAAUAUAAAAUAUUUAUUUAAAAUAUUUAUUUACUGUGCGGAAUCUCAAUCAGUGACCGCACCAUGCAGACAGGAGUGCGCCCACAGUCUCCAGGUGCACCUUCUCAAGUACUGCAAAAAUACCUCUGCCAAAAUACACCAAAACAUGAAUUUUCGUUUACAAAUAUUUAUUUAAAAACAAAUUAUUAUUUUUUAUUUUAUUUUUUCGGGCCGAAAAAAAGAGAAGAAAUCGAUCGAUUUUUCGAUUUAUCCCUCCUACACGUCGACUCACAGAAAACGAGUCGUUUAACAUCCCUCUGCACCACGUCUGCAGCAGCAGCAGCGGACAGUUUUCGGUUGGACUAGACGGAUACUGAGUUGAAGGAGUUUUUUUAACCCAAAGACAGUGAAGGUACAACACUUCUAUGUAGGCAUACAGUCCAGUGUUAAGAUACGACCAAAAUACAAGCUGUGGUCGCGCACACUAAAGCUCGCUGUGGGCGUGCAUGAACCAUGAACCAACCUGUCGGCGGCUGGCUGUAAACAGUGCUGCGCCUACGAGUAACUUAUUAAUUGCGCGACACAACGAAUCGACGACCAAAUUCGUUGUCAAGGCAUUUAGUAAUCGAUUUUUAUCGAUUUUAUCGAUUCGUUGUUGCAGCCCUAAUUAAAUGCGCUGACAGUUCAUUGCUCCAGCCAAACGGAUUACGCUGAGUGGAGCGGAUGACCACUCCAAGAUGGCGGCCCCGCGUCUCGUCAGCGCCAGUAGGCGGUAGCAUUCGAUGCUCCGUCUAUCAUAUAAGAUGUCUAUGGUAAAAACAACAACAACCGGUUAGCAAUUUGUAAAAAGGCUAAGAGAAAGCCCGGAGUUUGUCUCCCCCAAUGGUGAACUGCAGAACUGUAGUCAUUAGUGACCUUGCUAAUUGUAGCUAGAAGCUAAAUAAACAUUCAACGACGAAAGCUUCAGUUGAUACAUUGAAAAAAACUCACAAUAAGCACUGAAUAAUUCAUAAAAACAACUUUUGCAAUGUUCAAUAAAAAACUCUAAGUUAGCCUUCGAUUUUAAUUAGCCCUCAUUUUAGCACGUCUAGCAUUAGCAGCCGCAUGGUGCGCGUGCCAUCAAAUAUUUUAUUUGAUAAUUCCUCAAUUUCACUGAAAAUCUAUUUCACAGUGAAGUAUUCGUCCUUAAACGUAGUUUCUGGCAUAUUUUGCACUGCAGAGACAAAGUUGAAAAGCUGUUUCUCUACCGUCAUAUUUUGGUGUGCUUGUCCCAGAAGGUCGUAGCUUUGCAUCGAUUUAAUUGGAGCAGCCACAAA